This 515-nucleotide ribosomal RNA is filed under the name uncultured bacterium. RNAcentral describes it as "bacterial SSU rRNA". It matches the Rfam family "Bacterial small subunit ribosomal RNA", at positions 9 to 517 of the family's 1533-position model. The record is from RNAcentral.
GAGUUUGAUCGUGGCUCAGAUUGAACGCUGGCGGCAGGCCUAACACAUGCAAGUCGAGCGGUAGAGAGAAGCUUGCUUCUCUUGAGAGCGGCGGACGGGUGAGUAAUGCCUAGGAAUCUGCCUGGUAGUGGGGGAUAACGCUCGGAAACGGACGCUAAUACCGCAUACGUCCUACGGGAGAAAGCAGGGGACCUUCGGGCCUUGCGCUAUCAGAUGAGCCUAGGUCGGAUUAGCUAGUUGGUGAGGUAAUGGCUCACCAAGGCGACGAUCCGUAACUGGUCUGAGAGGAUGAUCAGUCACACUGGAACUGGGACACGGUCCAGACUCCUACGGGAGGCAGCAGUGGGGAAUAUUGGACAAUGGGCGAAAGCCUGAUCCAGCCAUGCCGCGUGUGUGAAGAAGGUCUUCGGAUUGUAAAGCACUUUAAGUUGGGAGGAAGGGCAGUAAAUUAAUACUUUAGCUGUUUUGACGUUUACCGACAGAAUAAGCACCGGCUAACUCUGUGCCAGCAGCCG